UGGGGAAUCUUGGACAAUGGGCGCAAGCCUGAUCCAGCCAUGCCGCGUGGAUGAUGAAGGCCUUAGGGUUGUAAAAUCCUUUCGUGGGGGACGAUAAUGACGGUACCCCAAGAAGAAGCUCCGGCUAACUUCGUGCCAGCAGCCGCGGUAAUACGAAGGGGGCUAGCGUUGUUCGGAUUUACUGGGCGUAAAGCGCGUGUAGGCGGGUCGUUAAGUUGGGGGUGAAAUCCCGAGGCUCAACCUCGGAACUGCCUUCAAAACUGGCGACCUGGACUCAAGCAGAGGCAAGUGGAAUUGCGAGUGUAGAGGUGAAAUUCGUAGAUAUUCGCAGGAACACCAGUGGCGAAGGCGACUUGCUGGGCUGACACUGACGCUGAGGCGCGAAAGCCAGGGGAGCAAACGGGAUUAGAUACCCAAGUAGUCCCUGAGCGGGCUGGCAAGGCGCAU
This 447-nucleotide ribosomal RNA is filed under the name uncultured bacterium. RNAcentral's name for it is "bacterial SSU rRNA". It matches the Rfam family "Bacterial small subunit ribosomal RNA", at positions 355 to 825 of the family's 1533-position model. The record is from RNAcentral.